GACGAACGCUGGCGGCGUGCUUAACACAUGCAAGUCGAACGGAAAGGCCCUGCUUUUGUGGGGUGCUCGAGUGGCGAACGGGUGAGUAACACGUGAGUAACCUGCCCUUGACUUUGGGAUAACUUCAGGAAACUGGGGCUAAUACCGGAUAGGAGCCCCUGCUGCAUGGUGGGGGUUGGAAAGUUUCGGCGGUUGGGGAUGGACUCGCGGCUUAUCAGCUUGUUGGUGGGGUAGUGGCUUACCAAGGCUUUGACGGGUAGCCGGCCUGAGAGGGUGACCGGCCACAUUGGGACUGAGAUACGGCCCAGACUCCUACGGGAGGCAGCAGUGGGGAAUAUUGCACAAUGGGCGGAAGCCUGAUGCAGCAACGCCGCGUGCGGGAUGACGGCCUUCGGGUUGUAAACCGCUUUCGCCUGUGACGAAGCGUGAGUGACGGUAAUGGGUAAAGAAGCACCGGCGAACUACGU
RNAcentral lists this ribosomal RNA (467 nucleotides) under uncultured bacterium. RNAcentral describes it as "partial 16S ribosomal RNA". It matches the Rfam family "Bacterial small subunit ribosomal RNA", at positions 28 to 506 of the family's 1533-position model. The record is from RNAcentral.